AACGAACGCUGGCGGCAGGCUUAACACAUGCAAGUCGAGCGCCCCUCCUUCAAGCAAGCUUGAAGGAAUUUUUCCUUGAAAAGAGAAGAUCAGAAAGCUUCUAAAGAAGCUUUCUUGAUGGAGGGGAGCGGCAGACGGGUGAGUAACGCGUGGGAACCUACCCUUCUCUACGGAACAGUCCUGGGAAACUGGGUUUAAUACCGUAUACGCCCUUUUGGGGAAAGAUUUAUCGGAGAAGGAUCGGCCCGCGUUGGAUUAGGUAGUUGGUGGGGUAAUGGCCUACCAAGCCGACGAUCCAUAGCUGGUUUGAGAGGAUGAUCAGCCACACUGGGACUGAGACACGGCCCAGACUCCUACGGGAGGCAGCAGUGGGGAAUCUUAGACAAUGGGGGCAACCCUGAUCUAGCCAUGCCGCGUGAGUGAUGAAGGCCUUAGGGUUGUAAAGCUCUUUCAGCUGGGAAGAUAAUGACGGUACCAGCAGAAGAAGCCCCGGCUAACUCCGUGCCAGCCGCCGCCGUAAAAC
RNAcentral lists this ribosomal RNA (523 nucleotides) under uncultured bacterium. Its description in RNAcentral is "bacterial SSU rRNA". It matches the Rfam family "Bacterial small subunit ribosomal RNA", at positions 29 to 526 of the family's 1533-position model. The record is from RNAcentral.